UGUCAUCUAUGCCUACCUUAAAUGCUGUUC
Molecule: non-coding RNA, 30 nt
Filed under: Mus musculus (house mouse)
Lineage: Eukaryota; Metazoa; Chordata; Mammalia; Rodentia; Muridae
Source: RNAcentral